GCAGAACCUUGCAGUGGCAGCCUGGUCAGCCAUUCCUUGCUCUGAUAUGUAACCCUUCGGAGGCGAGAAGGUUUCCUGGAAGGUAUUAGUUUUCUGGGCUCUUGUUUGUGCCUGUUGAAAAGGCUCUCACUAAUUAUGGAAUGAGUCAUGCAAUCCUAUUGAAUUACAGUAUAUGCACCUGUAAGAUGUUCUGCCAAAUAAAACAGAUUCUCUCAAGGAUUUCUGAAUGUAUCAAUAUCAAAGCCUGCUUUGUUUGUGAUAGAGCAAAAAGUUUUACUUUGUGUGCAUUAUUUUAAGUGCACUCACAGGUUGCUGCCUUAUCAACCACACCCUGGUGUGAUGAAUGUAAGUGCCAGUCUCAGCACCUGGGCCUCCUUUGCAAUCUGAUGUCGAUAUGGGCAACGAGGCUCAACUGUUCUGGGUGUCCAGAAAGAAAGAGGAAAGGCUCUUUCUUCCCUGCACAUGGCCAGAAAAGCCCUGGGAGUACAAUGCUGUGGGUUGGGGGAAGGCAGUAGAAUUGGAAAGAGAAGCAAGUCAUUUUUCUCCAGAGCUACUGAAGCUUGCCAUUGAGUUCCUGCAAGGCAGAGUGAAGGAGCAGUCAGGACUGAGAACUAUGCGCAGAUCUAUGAAGAAACUCAGAGAGAUGCCUGUGUCCUAGAGCUGCUAUAUGAAUGGAAUGUGUUAAUGUCUGCUGGGUGAUUGGUACUUAAACAGAGAAGCGUUUUGGGCCAGCACAGCCUCAACACACUAGGGACAUAGAAGUAUCGAGGCAGCUUAGGACAGAAAGUGUUAUUAAGCAAAGGGCUUGUAGCAGCAGAACAGCUAGGUUCCACAGGGAGCAAGCUCCCUGAAAAGAAUGGAUUAGUGCAUACGCUGGCUACUUUAAUGCAAGCUAACCACAGUUAAAGUGGUUCAACAACCCAAUGUAGACAUGGCCUAAAGCAAUGCAAUAACAUUUCCUUCUUUUCC
RNAcentral lists this long non-coding RNA (969 nucleotides) under Phasianus colchicus (ring-necked pheasant). Its description in RNAcentral is "lncRNA (ENSPCLG00000008123.1)". Lineage: Eukaryota; Metazoa; Chordata; Aves; Galliformes; Phasianidae. The record is from RNAcentral.